RNAcentral lists this transfer RNA (66 nucleotides) under Bemisia sp. PB-2004. Its description in RNAcentral is "tRNA-Asn". The record is from RNAcentral. Lineage: Eukaryota; Metazoa; Arthropoda; Insecta; Hemiptera; Aleyrodidae.
UUAGAUAAAACCAAACUAGAGGUAUGUUACUGUUAAUAACAAAAUUGAACUUUUAUUCUAUCUAAA